UCUCCGUUGGUGAACCAGCGAAGGGAUCAUUACCGAGUUAUCAACUCCCAAACCCCUGUGAACAUACCCAACGUUGCUUUGGCGGGACCGCCCCGGCGCCCUCGGCGUCCCGGAACCAGGCGCCCGCCGGAGGACCCAAACUCUUGUUUAAACCAUAGUGGCAUAUUCUGAGUCUCACAAGAAAAAUGAAUCAAAACUUUCAACAACGGAUCUCUUGGCUCUG
Molecule: unclassified non-coding RNA, 223 nt
Filed under: plant metagenome
Description: partial contains small subunit ribosomal RNA, internal transcribed spacer 1, and 5.8S ribosomal RNA
Source: RNAcentral